UCAUACGGAGGAUCCAAGCGUUAUCCGGAAUUACUGGGCGUAAAGAGUUGCGUAGGUGGCAUAGUAAGCGAGUAGUGAAAGCGUGUGGCUCAACCAUACUCACAUUAUUCGAACUGCUAAGCUAGAGGAUGAGAGAGGUUAUUGGAAUUCCCAGUGUAGGAGUGAAAUCCGCAGAUAUUGGGAGGAACACCGAUGGCGUAGGCAGAUAACUGGCUCAUUCCUGACACUAAGGCACGAAAGCGUGGGGAGCAAACGGGAU
RNAcentral lists this ribosomal RNA (259 nucleotides) under uncultured bacterium. RNAcentral describes it as "partial 16S ribosomal RNA". It matches the Rfam family "Bacterial small subunit ribosomal RNA", at positions 521 to 778 of the family's 1533-position model. The record is from RNAcentral.